GAUGAACGCUGACAGAAUGCUUAACACAUGCAAGUCAACUUGAACUUCGGUUUGGGUGGCGGACGGGUGAGUAACGCGUAAAGAACUUGCCUCACAGAUAGGGACAACAUUUGGAAACGAAUGCUAAUACCUGAUAUUAUGAUUUUAGGGCAUCCUAGGAUUAUGAAAGCUAUAAGCGCUGUGAGAGAGCUUUGCGUCCCAUUAGCUAGUUGGAGAGGUAACGGCUCACCAAGGCGAUGAUGGGUAGCCGGCCUGAGAGGGUGAUCGGCCACAAGGGGACUGAGACACGGCCCUUACUCCUACGGGAGGCAGCAGUGGGGAAUAUUGGACAAUGGACCAAGAGUCUGAUCCAGCAAUUCUGAGUGCACGAUGAAGUUUUUCGGAAUGUAAAGUGCUUUCAGUUGGGAAGAAAAAAAUGACGGUACCAACAGAAGAAGUGACGGCUAAAUACGUGCCAGCAGCCGCGGUAAUACGUAUGUCACAAGCGUUAUCCGGAUUUAUUGGGCGUAAAGCGCGUCUAGGUGGUUAUAUAAGUCUGAUGUGAAAAUGCAGGGCUCAACUCUGUAUUGCGUUGGAAACUGUGUAACUAGAGUACUGGAGAGGUAAGCGGAACUACAAGUGUAGAGGUGAAAUUCGUAGAUAUUUGUAGGAAUGCCGAUGGGGAAGCCAGCUUACUGGACAGAUACUGACGCUGAAGCGCGAAAGCGUGGGUAGCAAACAGG
This 722-nucleotide ribosomal RNA is filed under the name uncultured Fusobacterium sp. RNAcentral's name for it is "bacterial SSU rRNA". It matches the Rfam family "Bacterial small subunit ribosomal RNA", at positions 28 to 776 of the family's 1533-position model. Lineage: Bacteria; Fusobacteriati; Fusobacteriota; Fusobacteriia; Fusobacteriales; Fusobacteriaceae. The record is from RNAcentral.